CCGAUUCCGUUCGAAUCCGUGCCCCCUACCCCACGAAAACUCCUCUAUAUAAUCCCCCGCAUCAGCCCCUCUCCGUUUUUCCAAAAAUCGCAAACCGCAGACCACCAGAGGGCUCGUUCCGAUCUCGCCGGAGUUCGUCGCUGCGAACUCGAAGUCGAGGCAGGACCACGGGAACGAUCAGAGACAAGUACACCGGAAUUUCGCCGGAGACGGAGGAUUCCAGUCAGGAACCAUCUCUGUUCGGAACGACUCGCUGACGAAACAAGAAGGAGAUCAAUCUCGUCGAGCCGCACCUCGUCGCCACCACCACUGCAUCCGACGUCGCCGUGCACACCCGACCGUCGCCUUCAUCUCCUUCGUCGUCGUCCGCCACCCACCUGAUUGUGCGGAGUGCGCGAGUGCUGCUGAGGAGGAAUAUUGUUUAGAGUGCUGUUCGGAUCAA
Long non-coding RNA from Lolium rigidum, 442 nucleotides. RefSeq lists it as uncharacterized. The record is from RefSeq and is a predicted model, not a curated record. The transcript is spliced from 3 exons. NCBI's taxonomy places the organism in Eukaryota, Viridiplantae, Streptophyta, Magnoliopsida, Poales, Poaceae.